Non-coding RNA from Phoenix dactylifera (date palm), 1646 nucleotides. Lineage: Eukaryota; Viridiplantae; Streptophyta; Magnoliopsida; Arecales; Arecaceae. The record is from RefSeq and is a predicted model, not a curated record.
CCCAUUUCCUCCGUCCCUCGCGCUCUCUCUGUGUCUCUCUCUCUGCCCCCCCAACUCCCUCUCUUCCCGAUCAAAAAAAAAAAAAAGAAAUAAAAGAAAAUAAUUGGAUCUUUGUUCUAUUUUUUCUGUAGAUUGAAUGGAAUCCGAUUACAUUCUGUCCAGAGAUCCUCAGAACAUAGUGGCAUAGAAGGUCAGAGGUCUGUCAGAGACAUCUUAUGGAUCCUAUUCAUGGGGAUUCAAGAAGCAAGCAUACAUACGAUGAACAAAGGCAUCCUGGUCUGGGAAACAAACCAGAAAUAAAGAAAGUAACUCCUAGCUCAUCUUCUGAUGGGGAAUCAUUUGAAGAAGGUUUCUUCCAACUAGAUGCAGCUGAACUCGACAAAUCAUUUCUGCAAAUCACUGAGAUUGCCAGUGAUAAAUUAGCCUCACAAUCCAAGACUCAAAAUGGCAAAGUUAAUGAUACCAAUGAUGUUGGGAUGAGUGAUAACUUGGACAUGUUUGGACGAAAUCAUUCUCCCCCACUUCAGGUGAUGGGGAGGUCAGAUGUCCCCGACCCAAAUAUAGUUCCAUCUUCCAUGUUCACAAGGACUACGUCCUCAGCAAUAGACGGGAGCGUGGUUUCAAAUGAAUCUUUGUUCAGCAUCCAAAUGGGGAAUUCUAGCUUCUCUAGGGACCAUGUUUUCUUGACAGGCAGGUCCAGAGAUCUGACCAACUUCCCCAUGGACCCGCCAAGUGCAGCAGAGGCAGCAAAUGCUGCAGCCAUGCAGGGUGUCUUGAGGGUAAAUGCAGAGAAAGUUGGUGGUAAAGACAAGCAUCCAGCUGGGGAUAUGCAUCAUUCUGCUAGCAUAUCUAACCUCUUCGACAGCAGAAUGGCUAGUUUCCAAUCUUUUACAUUUGCAGAGUAUGCUCUCUUCUGCCUUCUUUAUAGACAAGAUUUUCAAUGACCAUCUUGCUGCCUUUUGCUAGCAAAAUUCACAAAUUCAAAAGCAGAUAAAAACAUAAGGGAAAGUAAAUUAGGCUACAAAUGUGGUAACAUGAUACUGAUUUUUUAAGUUUGAAAGUUUGAAAGAUAGGAAAUGUGUCAUUAGUGGAAGGAUUAUCAUUGUGGUCAAUGGUGUAAUGUUUAAAUUGACAGAUGGAAGAAGUGGAUCAGUUAAGGUAGGACCUGUGAACCAACCGCGGCACUGGGAGCAGGCACAGCAGCGUCCACCACAAACCAAGACCACAAAAGCAACUCCUGCUGCCAAGUGUUUUCCAUGCUUUUCUUGUUCAUUCUGUUCUUGAGGGAGUGUUUCUGAUCAACAAUAUCGUGAGGGAUACUCUGCCACUCACUAAGGAGAUGAAGUUUCUGUGGUUUGGAGUCUGGACAGAAAAGUAUACAUGAUUACAGAGGAACAGGAGAAGGCAUGCAUUUCUUUUAGUGGUUGAGAAGAACUGCAUCCAAUAUAGUCUUGUUUUCAGUAUUGUAAUGCUAAUGUUAGGCUCAGGUACUCAUCUCUAGGGUCUAAUGUUUUCUUUUCAGAGAAAGUUACAGAUUUAAGUCCUGCAUUUGCUUUUGAUAUCAUUACAACUUGAAAAGUACAUUUGUUUCUGAGGACUAACAUUGUCUGAGAUAAAGCAAGGUAACAAAGCAUUUGUUGGAUCAA